GCAAGUCGAACGAGGGCCCAGAGCUUGCUCUGGAGACCCGAGUGGCGAACGGGUGAGUAACACGUGACCAACCUAUCCCAGGGCGGGGGACAACCGAGGGAAACCUUGGCUAAUACCGCAUGAUGUUCCGCUUUCGCAUGUUAGCGGAAUCAAAGAGGGCCUCUUCAUGAAAGCUCUCACCCAGGGAGGGGGUCGCGACGUAUCAGCUUGUUGGUGGGGUAAUGGCCUACCAAGCCUACGAUCUAUAGCUGGUUUGAGAGGAUGAUC
RNAcentral lists this ribosomal RNA (267 nucleotides) under uncultured bacterium. Its description in RNAcentral is "partial 16S ribosomal RNA". It matches the Rfam family "Bacterial small subunit ribosomal RNA", at positions 57 to 305 of the family's 1533-position model. The record is from RNAcentral.